GCGGCGUGCCUAAUACAUGCAAGUCGAACGAACUCUGGUAUUGAUUGGUGCUUGCAUCAUGAUUUACAUUUGAGUGAGUGGCGAACUGGUGAGUAACACGUGGGAAACCUGCCCAGAAGCGGGGGAUAACACCUGGAAACAGAUGCUAAUACCGCAUAACAACUUGGACCGCAUGGUCCGAGUUUGAAAGAUGGCUUCGGCUAUCACUUUUGGAUGGUCCCGCGGCGUAUUAGCUAGAUGGUGAGGUAACGGCUCACCAUGGCAAUGAUACGUAGCCGACCUGAGAGGGUAAUCGGCCACAUUGGGACUGAGACACGGCCCAAACUCCUACGGGAGGCAGCAGUAGGGAAUCUUCCACAAUGGACGAAAGUCUGAUGGAGCAACGCCGCGUGAGUGAAGAAGGGUUUCGGCUCGUAAAACUCUGUUGUUAAAGAAGAACAUAUCUGAGAGUAACUGUUCAGGUAUUGACGGUAUUUAACCAGAAAGCCACGGCUAACUACGUGCCAGCAGCCGCGGUAAUACGUAGGUGGCAAGCGUUGUCCGGAUUUAUUGGGCGUAAAGCGAGCGCAGGCGGUUUUUUAAGUCUGAUGUGAAAGCCUUCGGCUCAACCGAAGAAGUGCAUCGGAAACUGGGAAACUUGAGUGCAGAAGAGGACAGUGGAACUCCAUGUGUAGCGGUGAAAUGCGUAGAUAUAUGGAAGAACACCAGUGGCGAAGGCGGCUGUCUGGUCUGUAACUGACGCUGAGGCUCGAAAGUAUGGGUAGCAAACAGGAUUAGAUACCCUGGUAGUCCAUACCGUAAACGAUGAAUGCUAAGUGUUGGAGGGUUUCCGCCCUUCAGUGCUGCAGCUAACGCAUUAAGCAUUCCGCCUGGGGAGUACGGCCGCAAGGCUGAAACUCAAAGGAAUUGACGGGGGCCCGCACAAGCGGUGGAGCAUGUGGUUUAAUUCGAAGCUACGCGAAGAACCUUACCAGGUCUUGACAUACUAUGCAAAUCUAAGAGAUUAGACGUUCCCUUCGGGGACAUGGAUACAGGUGGUGCAUGGUUGUCGUCAGCUCGUGUCGUGAGAUGUUGGGUUAAGUCCCGCAACGAGCGCAACCCUUAUUAUCAGUUGCCAGCAUUAAGUUGGGCACUCUGGUGAGACUGCCGGUGACAAACCGGAGGAAGGUGGGGAUGACGUCAAAUCAUCAUGCCCCUUAUGACCUGGGCUACACACGUGCUACAAUGGAUGGUACAACGAGUUGCGAACUCGCGAGAGUAAGCUAAUCUCUUAAAGCCAUUCUCAGUUCGGAUUGUAGGCUGCAACUCGCCUACAUGAAGUCGGAAUCGCUAGUAAUCGCGGAUCAGCAUGCCGCGGUGAAUACGUUCCCGGGCCUUGUACACACCGCCCGUCACACCAUGAGAGUUUGUAACACCCAAAGUCGGUGGGGUAACCUUUUAGGAACCAGCCGCCUAAGGUGGGACAGAUGAUUAGGG
This 1476-nucleotide ribosomal RNA is filed under the name Lactiplantibacillus plantarum. Its description in RNAcentral is "Lactobacillus plantarum 16S ribosomal RNA". It matches the Rfam family "Bacterial small subunit ribosomal RNA". Lineage: Bacteria; Bacillati; Bacillota; Bacilli; Lactobacillales; Lactobacillaceae. The record is from RNAcentral.